CCUACGGGAGGCAGCAGUGAGGAAUAUUGGUCAAUGGUCGGGAGACUGAACCAGCCAAGCCGCGGGAGGGAUGAAGGUACAGAGUAUCGUAAACCUCUUUUGUCAGGGAACAAAGGCGGGGACGUGUCCCCGGAUGAGUGUACCUGAAGAAAAAGCAUCGGCUAACUCCGUGCCAGCAGCCGCGGUAAUACGGAGGAUGCGAGCGUUAUCCGGAUUUAUUGGGUUUAAAGGGUGCGCAGGCGGUCUGUUAAGUCAGCGGUCAAAGCCCGGGGCUUAACCCCGUGCCUGCCUCUGAUACUGUUCGACUAGAGAGCGGGUGCAGCAGGCGGAAUGAGUAGUGUAGCGGUGAAAUGCUUAGAUAUUACUCAGAACACCGAUUGCGCAGGCAGCUUGCUAAUCCGCAUCUGACGCUGAUGCACGAAAGCGUGGGUAGCGAACAGGAUUAGAUACCCGAGUAGUC
This 460-nucleotide ribosomal RNA is filed under the name uncultured bacterium. RNAcentral describes it as "partial 16S ribosomal RNA". It matches the Rfam family "Bacterial small subunit ribosomal RNA", at positions 338 to 795 of the family's 1533-position model. The record is from RNAcentral.